RNAcentral lists this ribosomal RNA (253 nucleotides) under uncultured bacterium. RNAcentral's name for it is "partial 16S ribosomal RNA". It matches the Rfam family "Bacterial small subunit ribosomal RNA", at positions 524 to 776 of the family's 1533-position model. The record is from RNAcentral.
UACGGAGGGUGCAAGCGUUGUCCGGAUUUAUUGGGUUUAAAGGGUGCGUAGGCGGUCUUUUAAGUCAGUGCUGAAAUAUCCCGGCUUAACCGGGAGGGUGGCAUUGAUACUGAAGGACUUGAGUAAAGUUGAGGUAGGCGGAAUUGACGGUGUAGCGGUGAAAUGCUUAGAUAUCGUCAAGAACACCGAUAGUGUAGACAGCUUACUAAGCUUUAACUGACGCUGAGGCACGAAAGUGUGGGGAUCAAACAGG